Molecule: unclassified non-coding RNA, 767 nt
Filed under: Bidens henryi
Lineage: Eukaryota; Viridiplantae; Streptophyta; Magnoliopsida; Asterales; Asteraceae
Description: partial external transcribed spacer
Source: RNAcentral
CAGGAUCACCAGGUAGCAUCCCUAAUUGACAUAACCCGCCCGCUGGUACAAGCCAACACGGGACAGGCAAGUCUUUCAAGGUGAUGCGCCACUCUUUGACAAACCCUCCUGAUCCCAAUGGCAAAGCCGAUUCAGGCAAGACAGUAGGUCAUGUUAACUUUGACAAACCCUCCUGAUGGCAAAGCCAAAUCAGGCAAGACAGUAGGCAUUGUUAACUUUGACAAACCCUCCUGAUGGCAAGGCCAAUUCAGGCAAGACAGUAUGCAUUGUUAACUUUGACAAACCCUCCCUAUGGCAAAGCCGUUUCAGGCAAGACAGUAAGCAUUGUUAACUUUGACAAACCCUCCCGAUGGCAAAGCCGUUUCAGGCAAGACAGUAAGCAUUGUUAACUUUGACAAACCCUCCCGAUGGCAGGGCCAAAUCAGGCAAGACAGUAAGCAUUGUUAACUUUGACAAACCCUCCCGAUGGCAAGGCCAAACCAGGAAAGAUAGCAGUCAUGUUAAGAGAGGCACAAACGCUAAAUGAGGGCAAAACAAGGAUCCCAUGAGACCCCAUGCCCACAUCGUUUUCCAUAUCCAGGAUACCAAGCAACGCUCAAUGGGCCACAACAUCAACGCAAGCAUAAUGUUGUGGAUCAAAGAGACCGCUUUGUGGUUCAUCCGAUGCCACAAAAAUGGCACGAGACGAAAUCAACUGUAAUCAACCAAGACAAUACCAAUGCUUAGGUACGCAACACAGAAACCCACAAUUUGGCCAGGCAAUAGAU